ACGUACGCUGGCGGCACGCCUAACACAUGCAAGUCGAACGAAGUAGCAAUACUUAGUGGCAGACGGGUGAGUAACAUGUGGGUAUCUACCCUUUGGCCUGGAAUAACACGAGGAAACUUGUGCUAAUACCGGAUAAGUCUUUACGGAGAAAGCUUUAUGCACCAUUGGAUGAGCCCGCACUUGAUUAGUUUGUUGGUAGGGUAAUGGCCUACCAAGACUAUGAUCAAUAGCUGAUUUGAGAGGAUGAUCAGCCACAUUGGGACUGAGACACGGCCCAAACUCCUACGGGAGGCAGCAGUGGGGAAUCUUGCACAAUGGAGGAAACUCUGAUGCAGCGAUGCCGCGUGAGUGAAGAAGGCCUUUGGGUUGUAAAGCUCUUUCGUCGGGGAAGAAAAUGACUGUACCCGAAUAAGAAGGUCCGGCUAACUUCGUGCCAGCAGCCGCGGUAAUACGAAGGGACCUAGCGUAGUUCGGAAUUACUGGGCUUAAAGAGUUCGUAGGUGGUUGAAAAAGUUGGUGGUGAAAUCCCAGAGCUUAACUCUGGAACUGCCAUCAAAACUUUUCAGCUAGAGUAUGAUAGAGGAAAGCAGAAUUUCUAGUGUAGAGGUGAAAUUCGUAGAUAUUAGAAAGAAUACCAAUUGCGAAGGCAGCUUUCUGGAUCAUUACUGACACUGA
RNAcentral lists this ribosomal RNA (675 nucleotides) under alpha proteobacterium IMCC14238. Its description in RNAcentral is "bacterial SSU rRNA". It matches the Rfam family "Bacterial small subunit ribosomal RNA", at positions 29 to 749 of the family's 1533-position model. The record is from RNAcentral. Lineage: Bacteria; Pseudomonadati; Pseudomonadota; Alphaproteobacteria.